This 1271-nucleotide long non-coding RNA is filed under the name Equus asinus (donkey). RNAcentral describes it as "lncRNA (ENSEASG00005036700.1)". Lineage: Eukaryota; Metazoa; Chordata; Mammalia; Perissodactyla; Equidae. The record is from RNAcentral.
CCCAAAUCAAGCAACAUUCUACAUAACAACUGUCCUGUAACUUUCAAAAAUGUCAAAGUUAUGAAAGUCGAGGAAAGAAUGAGGAACUAUUCCCUUGAUUGAAGGAGACUAAAGAGAUGCGACAACUUAAUUCAGAUUGGAUCAUUAAACUAUAACGGACGUUACUGAGACAAAUGAUGAAAUUUGAUAGGCUGCUGAAAACCAGAUGGUGAUGGAAAAACUAAGAGCUAAGAGAGAAGUGAAGAACUAAGAGAAGGAAAGUCGUUUGCUUGAAAUCAUACAGCAAUUUGGAGACAGAGUCAUGAAUAAACAUUCUGUUCAGCAGAUGCCCUUUUACAGACUGCCUCAGCAGCUGAAAGCACACAAUGGAACAGUGUGCUUUUCAGCAAAUAGAGUGAGCAAUGGAAAAUGCAGAGCAUCGACCCUGAAAGCAAGCAAUGGCAUGCUGAAUGCAAUUCCAAAUGAAGAGAAGCUGCUGAUUUUCACUGAAACGGAAUGAAGUCCUCUGGGAAGGAUUGUUCGACACCAUUUCUGGGUGCCGGUUUUCAUAAAGCUAGGGCACAAAGACUCGGCACGCCCCCUGUUGGACUUAGCUGGCAUUUAGUAAGAAAAGGAACAGGAGAGAAACUUGUUGAUACAAAUAUUUCUUGGACACAGUAGGCAAGGGGAGGGCGCUUUCUGCAAAAUUCUGUUCAGGAAGCAUCAAAUGAGUCAGAGAUGUAUUCACUAAGCUAUCCCUGGGACAUAAUUUGACUCAUCCACAAAUACUGACAUUCCUUUUUGAAGAAUAGGAAAACUUUCCUAAUGAGAAAGCCAGAAUAGUAUGGAUUUAAUUCCUUUUAGCAAAAACAAGUCAGCCAGUAAAACUCCUCUUCAGCAUUCCUCCCCACCAAGUGAUGUUUAAGUUGUAAUCUCUAAAUGUCCACUGAUAGAGAACUGGUUAAGUAAAUACAGUACAUCCAUACAUUGGAACAAAAGGCAGCUCUACAGGUAGUGUUAUGAAACAGUCCCACGAGUAUUAGUAACCGAAAAAAAGCGAAGUUCUGAGCAAUAUAUAUAUAUUUGACCAUAUGUGCAGAGACUUUCUAUAGAAGUUUCCACAAAAAGUAGAAACAAUUCUUUUCUCCUGGGAGAGAAAUUAGUUGCCACAGACUAGGGUAGAAAGAAAACUUCUCACUGUAUUUCUCUGUGUGCUAUUUGAAAUUUGUAUCUUGUAUGUCACCUGUAAAAAUAAUCUAAUCAAAUUUUAAAAAAUAAUCUUAUGAAUGUCC